Molecule: long non-coding RNA, 286 nt
Organism: Pistacia vera
Lineage: Eukaryota; Viridiplantae; Streptophyta; Magnoliopsida; Sapindales; Anacardiaceae
Exons: 4
Source: RefSeq, a predicted model, not a curated record
GAAAGGCAAGUUUAAAAUGUCAUGAAUUUGCUGAAGAAUCAAGGCAUCAAAUUUGGUCAACAGAACUUUGUAUCAUGCCGUGACAGGCCAGGAAAUAUCUCAUGUAUCUGUGCUUCUUGGAGGUCAUAAUCCCACCUUUCAUACAUCAAUUUUCUGUUUCAAAUUUCAACCUUAGAACAAAAAUGGAAGAGGAGAGCUUAUUUACUCAAAAGGACUCAACUGGAAGCUUCUCAAAUUACGGUGGAUCCCCUUUAUGAAAUCAUUUGAUGACUCAUUGAGAAAGGCC